UACAGAGGGUGCGAGCGUUGUCCGGAAUCACUGGGCGUAAAGGGCGCGUAGGUGGCGGCCCAAGUCCAUGGUGAAAGCUCGAUGCUCAACAUCGAGUCGGCCACGGAUACUGGGUUGCUCGAGCACUGUAGGGGCAGAUGGAAUUCCGGGUGUAGCGGUGGAAUGCGUAGAGAUCCGGAAGAACACCGGUGGCGAAGGCGGGAACUCUGGGCCGAGUACGUGACGCUGAGGAGCGAAAGCGUGGGGAGCAACAGG
This 255-nucleotide ribosomal RNA is filed under the name uncultured bacterium. Its description in RNAcentral is "partial 16S ribosomal RNA". It matches the Rfam family "Bacterial small subunit ribosomal RNA", at positions 524 to 775 of the family's 1533-position model. The record is from RNAcentral.